UAACAUCACCGUCUGUCUGUCUGUCUGUCUGUCUGUCUGUCAAAACCCCAUCAGUUCACUACGACUCAGAGUGGACAUGAUCAAUAGAUAACAUCACCGUCUGUCUGUCUGUCAAGACCCCGUCUGUCAAGACCCCAUCAGUUCACUACAACUCAAAGUGGACAUGAUCAAUAGAUAACAUCACUGUCUGUCUGUCUGUCAGCGUUGGGCUCAAUUCAGACUUGAGUUAAGAAUACUUCUUGAAUUUGAAUUGAAGUAGUAAACAGAAUACAGAAUUGAAAUUUGAAUUUGAAUGAAAGGAAAUAGAAUUGAAUUCAGUGAAAUUCAAAUGCCUCUUGUAUUGUAUAUUAGGUGUAGUCUAUAACUAUAUAUGUUGAAACAGUAGAUUUUUAGGACAAACUAUCUUCCAAUUAAUUAAUGAUCUAGGACAACAAAUCCUGUAUGCAAAUAUUCUGUUUUCAUUAAUCACUUAUUAAUCACACAUAUAUAUAUAUAUAUACUGUAUACACAAAACAUUAGUUUCACCCCUUUUUUCCCUCAGAACAGCCUCAAUUUGUCGGGGCAGGGACUCUACAAGAUAUCAAAUGUGUUCAUCAGGGAUGCUGGCCCAUGUUGUCACAGGGAUGCUGGCCCAUGUUGUCACAGGGAUGCUGGCCCAUGUUGUCACAGGGAUACUGGCCCAUGUUGACUCCAAUGCUUCCCACAGUUGUGUCAAGUUGGCUUGAUGUCCUUUGGGUGAUGGAUCAUUAUUGAUACACACAGAGAAACUGUUGAAUGUGAAAAACCCAGCAGCGUUGCCGUUCUUAACACAAACCAGUACACCUGGCACCUACCACCAUACACAGUUCAGACACUUAAACAUUUAGUCUUGUCCAUUCACCCUCUGAAUGACACACACAAUCCAUGUCUCAAUUGCCAUUCUUUAACCCGUCUCCUCCCCUUCAUCUACACUGAUUGAAGUGGAUUUAACAGGUGACAUCAAUAAGGGAUCAUAUCUUUCACCUGGAUUCACCUGGUCAGUCUGUGUUUAGGAAAGAGCAGGCGUUCCUAAUGUUUUGUGCACUCCGUGUAUAUUGUAAAUGCUAACUGACAGAGUAAUUGUCCCAUAAGUUUUAAAUGAGGUGUUAACAUUUGGUAUUGUUUGUAAACAUUUAAAUAAAAGCUAUUUAGUUCAGUUUUUAAGUUGUAAUGGGGAGGAUCAGUAGUUCAGAGGGCAGGGUGAUCAGUAGUUCAGAGGGCAGGGUGAUCAGUAGUUCAGAGGGCAGGGUGAUCAGUAGUUCAGAGGGCAGGGUGAUCAGUAGCCAGGGUGAUCAGUGGCCAGGGUGAUCAGUAGUUCAGGGGCAGGGUGAUCAGUAGCCAGGGUGAUCAGUGGCCAGGGUGAUCAGUAGUUCAGAGGGCAGGGUGAUCAGUAGUUCAGAGGGCAGGGUGAUCAGUGGCCAGGGUGAUCAGUAGUUCAGAGGGCAGGGUGAUCAGUAGUUCAGAGGGCAGGGUGAUCAGUGGCCAGGGUGAUCAGUAGUUCAGAGGGCAGGGUGAUCAGUAGUUCAGAGGGCAGGGUGAUCAGUAGCCCAGGGUGAUCAGUGGCCAGGGUGAUCAGUAGUUCAGAGGGCAGGGUGAUCAGUAGUUCAGAGGGCAGGGUGAUCAGUAGUUCAGAGGGCAGGGUGAUCAGUAGUUCAGAGGGCAGGGUGAUCAGUAGUUCAGGGGGCAGGGUGAUCAAUAGUUCUGUGGCCUGGGUGAUCAGUAGUUCAGAGGUCAGGGUGACCAGUGGCCAGGGUGAUCAGUAGUUCAGAGAGCAGGGUGAUCAAUAGUUCAGAGAGCAGGGUGAUCAAUAGUUCUGUGGCCAGGGUGAUCAGUAGUUCUGUGGCCAGGGUGAUCAGUAGUUCAGAGGUCAGGGUGAUCAGUAGUUCAGAGGGCAGGGUGAUCAGUAGUUCUGUGGCCAGGGUGAUCAAUAGUUCUGUGGCCAGGGUGAUCAGUAGUUAGAGGUCAGGGUGAUCGGUAGUUCUGAGGUCGGGGUGAUCGGUGGUUCUGUGGUCAGGAUGAUAGGUAGUUCUGAGGUCAGGGUGAUCGGUAGUUCUGUGGUCAGGAUGAUAGGUAGUUCUGAGGUCAAGUCUGGCCAGGGUGAUCAGUAGUUCUGUGGUCAGGAUGAUCAGUAGUUCUGUGGUCAGGGUGAUCAAUAGUUAUGUGGCCAGUGUGAUCAGUAGUUCAGAGGUCAGGGUGAUCAGUAGUUCAGAGGGCAGGGUGAUCAGUAGUUCUGUGGCCAGGGUGAUCAAUAGUUCUGUGGCCAGGGUGAUCAGUAGUUAGAGGUCAGGGUGAUCGGUAGUUCAGAGGUCAGGAUGGUCGGUAGUUCUGAGGUCAGGGUGAUCAAUAGUUCGGAGGCCAGGGUGAUCGGUAGUUCGGCGGCCGGGAUGAUCAGUCGUUCUGAGGUCAGGGUGAUCAGUAGUUCUGUGGUCAGGGUGAUCAGUAGCCAGGGUGAUCAGUGGCCAGGGUGAUCAGUAGUUAGAGGUCAGGGUGAUCAGUAGUUCUGAGGGCAGGGUGAUCAGUAGUUCUGUGGCCAGGGUGAUCAAUAGUUCUGUGGCCAGGGUGAUCAGUAGUUAGAGGUCAGGGUGAUCAGUAGUUCAGAGGUCAGGGUGAUCGGUAGUUCUGAGGUCGGGGUGAUCGGUAGUUCUGAGGUCAGGAUGGUCGGUAGUUCUGUGGUCAGGAUGGUAGGUAGUUCUGAGGUCAAGUCUGGCCAGGGUGAUCAAUAGUUAUGUGGCCAGGGUGAUCAGUAGUUAUGUGGCCAGGGUGAUCAGUAGUUAUGUGGCCAGGGUGAUCGGUAGUUAUGUGGCCAGGGUGAUUGGUAGUUCAGAGGUCAGGGUGAUUGGUAGUUCAGAGGUCAGGGUGAUUGGUAGUUCAGAGGUCAGGGUGAUUGGUAGUUCAGAGGUCAGGGUGAUUGGUAGUUCAGAGGUCAGGGUGAUUGGUAGUUCAGAGGUCAGGGUGAUUGGUAGUUCAGAGGUCAGGGUGAUUGGUAGUUCAGAGGUCAGGGUGAUUGGUAGUUCAGAGGUCAGGGUGAUUGGUAUUUC
This is a long non-coding RNA of Oncorhynchus tshawytscha (Chinook salmon), 3056 nucleotides long. The record is from Ensembl. NCBI's taxonomy places the organism in Eukaryota, Metazoa, Chordata, Actinopteri, Salmoniformes, Salmonidae.